AAGUCCAGGGUCUUCUACGACCUAAUCCGGAUUUGCAAUCUGGGCUGUCUGGGCU
This 55-nucleotide transfer RNA is filed under the name Kinyongia vosseleri. RNAcentral's name for it is "partial transfer RNA-Cys". The record is from RNAcentral. Lineage: Eukaryota; Metazoa; Chordata; Lepidosauria; Squamata; Chamaeleonidae.